RNAcentral lists this unclassified non-coding RNA (266 nucleotides) under Hevea brasiliensis (rubber tree). Lineage: Eukaryota; Viridiplantae; Streptophyta; Magnoliopsida; Malpighiales; Euphorbiaceae. The record is from RNAcentral.
AGUGCAGCGUCUAUCGCAGACAUCCAUGGACACAAGGGGCUUGCUGGUUAUUUAUCAGAGGUUGCACUUACUAGUCAUCUUUCAUCCCUCACAUUUGAAGAAAGUGAGCUUCCUAAAGGCUCUGCUGAGGUAGAAGCAGAAAUGACGGUAAAUUGCAUUUCAAAUGGGAACCUCUCUUCCGCGGAGGACUAUAUCCCUCUAAAAAAUACGUUAGCUGCAGUAAGGAAUGCUGCUCAAGCAGCAGCCCGUAUUCAAUCUGCUUUCCG